AUACGGAGGGUGCAAGCGUUAUUCGGAAUCACUGGGCGUAAAGGACGCGUAGGCGGGUUGGCAAGUCAGAUGUGAAAUCCUACAGCUUAACUGUAGAACUGCAUUUGAAACUGCUAACCUAGAGUAUGGAAGGGGGAGAUGGAAUUAGUGGUGUAGGGGUAAAAUCCGUAGAUAUCACUAGGAAUACCGAAAGCGAAGGCGAUCUCCUGGAACAUAACUGACGCUAAGGCGUGAAAGCGUGGGGAGCAAACAGGAUUAGAAACCCCAGUAGUCC
This 274-nucleotide ribosomal RNA is filed under the name uncultured bacterium. RNAcentral's name for it is "partial 16S ribosomal RNA". It matches the Rfam family "Bacterial small subunit ribosomal RNA", at positions 523 to 796 of the family's 1533-position model. The record is from RNAcentral.